GUCGGGUAAGUUCCGACCUGCACGAAUGGCGUAACGACUUUCCUGCUGUCUCGACCACAGGCCCGGUGAAAUUGCAGUACGAGUAAAGAUGCUCGUUUCGCGCGGCAGGACGAAAAGACCCCGGGACCUUUACUAUAGCUUGGUAUUGGGGUGUGGUUCGGUUUGUGUAGGAUAGGUGGGAGACUGUGAAGCGGCCACGCUAGUGGUGGUGGAGUCGUUGUUGAAAUACCACUCUGAUCGGAUUGAGCAUCUAACCUUGGCCCAUGAUCUGGGUUGGGGACAGUGCCUGGUGGGUAGUUUAACUGGGGCGGUUGCCUCCUAAAUGGUAACGGAGGCGCCCAAAGGUUCCCUCAGUCUGGUUGGUAAUCAGGUGU
RNAcentral lists this ribosomal RNA (374 nucleotides) under uncultured eukaryote. RNAcentral describes it as "partial Bacterial large subunit ribosomal RNA". It matches the Rfam family "Bacterial large subunit ribosomal RNA", at positions 1971 to 2345 of the family's 2925-position model. The record is from RNAcentral.